Molecule: long non-coding RNA, 475 nt
Filed under: Elaeis guineensis (African oil palm)
Lineage: Eukaryota; Viridiplantae; Streptophyta; Magnoliopsida; Arecales; Arecaceae
Description: long non-coding RNA (EGUI_LNC033491)
Source: RNAcentral
GUGGUUUUCUCUUAAUCCCUUGUCUCCUUCUCCUCAUGAAACGUCUAAAUUUUUUUGUGAUUAGGGUUAAGUCCUCAUCUCCUUCGCUGUUCUCUGAUUUUUCUGUAUCUUCUUCUUUUUGAACUAUCGAUCUGAGAGCGAUAGUCUUCUUUUUUCUGAUCUCUUCCUCAGAAUAUUACUUCAUGGUCAGCUCGUGGGUCAUAAGGGAUCCAAGUAGCUCCUCCAGAGGUAGAGUGUUUAAAUCCUUGACUUCUUGAAUUGCAUUGACCUUUGCCUCCCAUGAUCUUGGUAAAGACUUGAGCACUUUUCUCACAAGAUCACUGUUAGAAUAAUAUUUGCCAAGACUUUUCAAAUUAUUUAUGAUGCCAGUGCAAUGGAUGAAUAUUUGAGUUAUUGACUCUUCAGAUUUCAUUUUAAAUAGUUCAUAGUUGUGUACAAACAUAUUGAUUUUAGACUCUUUUACUUGGUUUGUGCC